This 497-nucleotide ribosomal RNA is filed under the name uncultured bacterium. RNAcentral's name for it is "partial 16S ribosomal RNA". It matches the Rfam family "Bacterial small subunit ribosomal RNA", at positions 28 to 507 of the family's 1533-position model. The record is from RNAcentral.
GAUGAACGCUGGCGGCGUGCCUAAUACAUGCAAGUCGAGCGAACACACCAGGAGCAUGCUCCUCUGACGUUAGCGGCGGACGGGUGAGUAACACGUGGACAACCUAACUAUAAGACAGGGAUAACUACGGGAAACAGGAGCUACUACCGGAUAAUAUAUUGAACGGCAUGGUUCAAUAGUGAAAGACGGGUUUGCUGUCUCAUAUCGAUCGAACCGCGCCGCAUUAGCUUGUUGGUAAGGGAACGGCAUACCAAGGGAAAGAUGCGUAGCCGACCUGAGAGGGUGAUUGGCCACACGGGAACUGAGACACAGCCCAGACUCUUACGGGAGGAAGCAGUAGGGAAUCUUCCGCGAAGGGGGAAAGCCUGACGGAGCAACGCCGCGUGAGGGAUGAAGGUCUUCGGAUCGUAAAGCGCUGAUAUUAGGAGAGAAGAAAUGUGUAAGUAACUAUGAUCGUCUUGACGGUACCGAAACAGAAAGCCCCGGCUAACUACGUG